AAAAACACAAUGACUCAUUACUCCUCUUUGUUACUAUUAGGCAUCAGAGAUACAUGUUUUGUUGACUUUACUUAUAAAAAUGAGAUAAACUUGAAUAUGAAUACAUUGGCUUCCUUGUUCCAGGAGCUACCUCUUGGGUGAAAUAGCUAUUUCAUGAAACUUCUUUAGAGACUAACAUGAUACUCCCAAGAAGUAUCAUGUUUUAGAAACAAAAAUUAUGUUGAAUUCUAAUUAACUCCUAAAAUGGUCAUUUUCAAUGAAUAUUGCAGUGAUUUCUGAAUGAAAAACUGCUCAAUAUCUAACGCUUGCUGCAGGUUUACUUUGUAGAAGUAUGUCAAAAUUGAUAAUUGAUGAUAUUUUUAUUGAGGCUAAUAUAUUAUCCUUUGGUGCCAUGAGUGGAUGAAGAAACUUUUGGAAGGCUAAACUAGUGGAUACAAGAAACUUAAGCAAAUUUUUAUACCACAUGGGUGUGAGAGAUAAUGAAUAUUAUCUACUAGGUAUCAGCAAACAGGUGUCCAAUGUGAUCAAUUCAGGACUCUUCCACUGAAGAGAUGUGAAGUGUAAGUUUAACUGAAGUAUCAUUGCAAUUGUGUGCCUUCUCAGUUAUUGGCAAUUUAAAGAGCAUGAUGAAUGUUUUUAGUAUAAUGGUGUAAAUCCUUUUGAUUUGUUGCAUGAAAGAAAUAUGGGAUCAUGUAGCACCUGCUUUGACAUUGAUUCUCAGGUGUGUGAGUUGCUCCUCUGAUUUUAGAUCACAUUUGUUCUCAUCACUCGGCCUAUGCACAUUGAGAUUGACACGGUUUUAGUUUAUUUUUGACAUAUGAGAAAUCGUACCAUGUUUGAAAUUGCAAGGGCAUAUUUCAUGGAGCCUGUAUUCCCUUUUCUCAGUGUAUUUCUGUCAUGUUCUAGUCCCCAGACACAAAGUAGAAGCCAUCAAAGCCUGCGCUAAUACACGCAGGAGGACAGAGUAUGAUGCUAACUCUGCAUGAAUGUAUGGAUAUCUUUGUCAUAUUUACAUAUGAGUGAUUAUGAAUCCCUUUUGCUUUUCAGUGUCUUCUCAGAAACCACCAGCCUUGAAGGCUACAGGUGACGAGGAAGAUUCUGUUUUGAAUAUAGC
RNAcentral lists this long non-coding RNA (1114 nucleotides) under Homo sapiens (human). Its description in RNAcentral is "HSALNT0035890". Lineage: Eukaryota; Metazoa; Chordata; Mammalia; Primates; Hominidae. The record is from RNAcentral.